This 89-nucleotide transfer RNA is filed under the name Candidatus Zixiibacteriota bacterium. RNAcentral's name for it is "tRNA-Ser". It matches the Rfam family "tRNA". Rfam says of the family: Transfer RNA (tRNA) molecules are approximately 80 nucleotides in length. Their secondary structure includes four short double-helical elements and three loops (D, anti-codon, and T loops). Further hydrogen bonds mediate the characteristic L-shaped molecular structure. tRNAs have two regions of fundamental functional importance: the anti-codon, which is responsible for specific mRNA codon recognition, and the 3' end, to which the tRNAs corresponding amino acid is attached (by aminoacyl-tRNA synthetases). tRNAs cope with the degeneracy of the genetic code in two manners: having more than one tRNA (with a specific anti-codon) for a particular amino acid; and 'wobble' base-pairing, i.e. permitting non-standard base-pairing at the 3rd anti-codon position. The record is from RNAcentral. RNAcentral also lists the same sequence under 1 other name. Lineage: Bacteria; Pseudomonadati; Candidatus Zixiibacteriota.
GGAGAGGUGGCCGAGUGGCCGAAGGCAGCUGCCUGCUAAGCAGUUAAUCGGGUAAAACCGGUUCUAGGGUUCGAAUCCCUACCUCUCCG